RNAcentral lists this ribosomal RNA (468 nucleotides) under uncultured bacterium. RNAcentral describes it as "partial 16S ribosomal RNA". It matches the Rfam family "Bacterial small subunit ribosomal RNA", at positions 28 to 507 of the family's 1533-position model. The record is from RNAcentral.
GACGAACGCUGGCGGCGUGCUUAACACAUGCAAGUCGAACGGAAAGGCCCUGCUUUUGUGGGGUGCUCGAGUGGCGAACGGGUGAGUAACACGUGAGUAACCUGCCCUUGACUUUGGGAUAACUUCAGGAAACUGGGGCUAAUACCGGAUAGGAGCUCCUGCUGCGUGGGGGGGGUUGGAAAGUUUCGGCGGUUGGGGAUGGACUCGCGGCUUAUCAGCUUGUUGGUGGGGUAGUGGCUUACCAAGGCUUUGACGGGUAGCCGGCCUGAGAGGGUGACCGGCCACAUUGGGACUGAGAGACGGCGCAGACUCCUACGGGAGGCAGCAGUGGGAAAUAUUGCACAGUGGGCGGAAGCCUGAUGCGGCAACGCCGCGUGCGGGAUGACGGCCUUCGGGUUGUGAACCGCUUUCGCCUGUGACGAAGCGUGAGUGACGGUAAUGGGUAAAGAAGCACCGGCUAACUACGUG